RNA transcript from Rosa rugosa (rugosa rose), 1268 nucleotides. RefSeq lists it as uncharacterized. NCBI's taxonomy places the organism in Eukaryota, Viridiplantae, Streptophyta, Magnoliopsida, Rosales, Rosaceae. The transcript has 3 exons. The record is from RefSeq and is a predicted model, not a curated record.
UGUCUCUCAGUAAAUACAAAGCAAAUCCAAAACCCUAGGGGAGCGGAGAACGGUCAAGAAUCGCAGCAAGCAAUGUCGAUGUCGAAGAGCUCCAAGAUGCUUCAAUUCAUCAACUACCGGAUGCGGGUCACAAUCCAAGACGGGCGCCAGCUCGUCGGCAAGUUCAUGGCCUUCGACCGCCACAUGAACCUCGUCCUCGGCGACUGCGAGGAGUUCCGCAAGCUCCCCCCGGCGAAAGGCAAGAAGACCAACGAAGAACGCGACGACCGCCGCACUCUAGGGAUGGUCCUCCUCCGCGGCGAAGAGGUCGUCUCCAUGACCGUCGAGGGUCCGCCUCCUCAGGAAGAGUCCAGAGCCAAAGCCUCCAGCGCCGCCGCCAUGGCCGGGCCUGGAAUCGGCCGCGGCGCCGGGCGAGGCGUGGUGGCGCCACUCGCGCAGGCUCAGCCGGGUCUCUCCGGUCCGGUUCGCGGUGUCGGUGGGCCUGCUCCGGGAAUGAUGCAGCCUCAGAUUUCUCGCCCGCCGAUGCCGAAUCUGUCUGCUCCGCCGAUGAACUAUCCGUCUGCGCCGGUGCUCAGGCCACCUGGCCAGAUGGCUGGAUAUCCACCAGGGCAGGGGCCGCCGCAGAUGGCCAGGGGACCGCCGCCGUCGAUGCCUCCUCCACAGUUUACUCGGCCCGGCGGUCCACCUCAGUUUCCAGGCCCUCCACCAAUGCAGUUUGCUCAGAGACCAAUGGGGCCUCCUGGCCAGAUGAUGAGGGGUCCACCGCCUCCGCCACGGCCUGGAAUGCAAGGUCCACCACCUCGUCCUGGGAUGCCUCCUCCACCUGGUGGUGUUCCUUUGUAUGGACAGCCUCGUGGCAUGCCGCCUCCACCCAACUCUCAGAACCAGCAACAGUGAUUUGAAGUUUUACAAAUUGCUCUUGCUAAAUAGGAUGUGGAUUGGUCAAAUCUCUGUAUAAGGGUGCUGCUCUUCUGAGGCUGUAGUUCUUUGGUGUGUUCUAUAUUGGUUAUGAGAAAGGAUAUGCACAAAUUGUUCGAGGAACAACCUGAUUUACUCAAUGUACUGGCAUGAACAGGUUAUGAUCGGAGGGUUUCCAAGUGGUGUUGAAUGCCUGAUAUUUUGAACCUAAAUUCAGUUCCUUUAAAUGAGUAUGAGCAUGUCUGAAUAGAGAGUACUUUUGGCGUUAAAUACAACUAUGUAGCAGAACAUUGAACUAGUUAUUUGUACAACCUGAUGAUGAUGUUGAUUAGAAUUUGGUUUGUCCUUUA